AUUGAACGCUGGCGGCAGGCAUAACACAUGCAAGUCGAACGAGUGGAGGACGGGUGAGUAAUGUCUGGGAAACUGCCCGAUGGAGGGGGAUCACUACUGGAAACGGUAGCUAAUACCGCAUACCAGCGGAUGUGCCCAGAUGGGAUGAGCUAGUAGGUGGGGGAACGGCUCACCUAGACGAGGAUCACUAGCUGGUCUGAGAGGAUGACCAGACACACUGGAGCUGAGAAACGGUCAAGACUCCUACGGGAGGCAGCAGUGGGGAAUAUUGCACAAUGGUCGCAAGCCUGAUGCAGCCAUGCCGCGUGUAUGAAGAAGGCCUUCGGGUUGUAAAGUACUUUCAGCGAGGAGGCGUUACUCGCAGAAGAAGCAUCGGCUAACUCCGUGCCAGCAGCCGCGGUAAUAC
This 406-nucleotide ribosomal RNA is filed under the name uncultured bacterium. RNAcentral describes it as "partial 16S ribosomal RNA". It matches the Rfam family "Bacterial small subunit ribosomal RNA", at positions 30 to 526 of the family's 1533-position model. The record is from RNAcentral.